GCCUCUUCGUAUUGCCUCAGAUUUUAUUAUCACAUGUAUGGCCAACAUAUCGGAAAUCUAGCAGUGUACUCACAAACAAGAAACUCGGGUUAUUGGUCCAAACGUUGGACUCGGUCCGGAAAUCAAGGAAAUCAAUGGAUAAAAGCUAGUGUGGAUAUUACUGGUAAUAUAACGUCAGGCAUUGUUGUAAGUAUAUAAUCAGAAUAUCAGUUUUUCCUUCAAAUUUUUCCUACCAGCGUAAACUUUAAAUACACAUUCAUUUGUCCGUUUGUAAAGUUUCACUGAGAUUGUGUGGGCUUAUCAUUUUAUUCACUGACCCUGAAUAAACCGUUAUCGUUGACACUGCACAUCGAACAUUGCUAUCAAGAAUCAAAUGUUAGAGGGAGAAACUGAUUCAUUUUGACUGGACUGUCAGUGUUAGAAAAUAUUGGGACAAUAUAUGCUAGAAACAUUUUUCCCAAAGUGAUUAUUCUAAUUCUAAUAUAAAUCAACUAUCAAUUUUCAAUAACUCCAUCAGUAUAUUAUAGAAAAAGUAGUAAAAAUAUUAGAACUUCAUCUCAAUCCAAUGUUUGUCCCAAAUAAAUGCACAAUCACCAAGUCGGUUCUUAGUAGUGAGGCUCUAUAUAUAUUGCAUAUCAAUGGUAUCAUAAUGAUUGUAACUUGUGGCACUGCCGUUGUUUGUUGUUAUUUGAUAUUAAUUGGUUUGUGCCUUUUGUAUCUUAUUUGAGCGAAAUGAAAGAAUAUUUGAGAAAUUAAAAAAAGAGUUCGAGGUUUCAAAGUAUCGAAUAUCUAAGAGAAAAUACAAAAUAAGUAUAGGACACUUUAACGAGAAAAAAAUAAGAAUGAUGAAGUAGUUCCUCUUCUGUUCUAUAUAUUUAAUCUGUAAUCCUUGCUCUCCACGUGAGGUGGAAGAAGAAUCUCAACCAGGAUAUAGUUUACAAAGAGUAGAUAAAGCUCAAAAUUCAAAACAUCUUUAUAUUACACUGCCAUAAAACAUAAAUAUCGUCAAUGACAUUAUUUCAAAGCCAGUUCAGGCCUGAAAUUUAUUUCUAAGGCUUCUGACAUAGAAAUCCCUCCUGACCAAAGAUUCGGGUUCUAAGUAGGGAAUACGUUUGCUGAACAGACGGACAAGCAGCUGCAAUAUUUUUCAUGUGAUAAAUUUCUAACAUUUCACACAUUGCUCUUAAAUGCGCUGUUAUAUAUUGUUUCGUAUACUACAAUGAAUGUCAAGUUCUAUGUUACCAUGGUUAAUGAUUUCCACGUUUGUUUGUCCGAAUGUGUAUAAUAUGGUCUUUGAUUGAUUAGAACAUGGCAAUUUCCAUACUAGGCUUCAGAGUGAUCACACCAAUGAAUUUCGAAUUUGGAUAUGUUGUAGCUGGUAACAAAGUGAAGGUCAUUAACGGGGUUGACCAUUUUUACUUCAGUUGUUAAAGGAGUUAUGGCCCUUAAAAGAUUUAUUUGUACAUAAAUAUAAACUGUCUAUACACUUUCGUUGAUGACACGCCUGUCCUUUAUAAUAGAGUGAAUGUAUGAAAGACGACAUUUUGUGUAACACGAUUUAUCCUUGACGCAUUCAACAAAAUUAAGUGUACGAAUAGCAAGACAUCAAGAGACAAAUAAAAAAAAUACCAAACUCCAAGUAACAUUAAAACGGAAACGCUCUUGUCAAAAGCUCAAACAGUUACUCAUCAAACGAAAUUAAAAGUAACUAUUAUAUUCUUUACUUGGUAAAAUAUGGUUACUCUCUUGAUGUAGCCAUGUAUUGGAACAAACAUUACUAAACUAUUCUAUUGUAUGAUACAUACAAUUGGACUCUUCAAUGUUAAAUUUGUGUCAACUAAAACAAUUUUAAAUUGUGAAUUUGUCAUAAUUCUAUAAUUUUCCAAAUAAAGUACGCACAUACAUUUUAAACUAAUCAGAAUGUAAAAUAUCAAUUUCAUUUAGCGACUAACUGAAACAUUAAAAACACGUGAAUGAAUUUUUUGUGCGAAAAAAAAAUAGAUAACAUAAAAUGUAUUUCAACUUAUUCGAAAGAACAUAAAGUGUGAAUGACAAUUAUUUUUAAAUACUUGUAAACCUAAACAAAAUUCUCGAAAUAAUAUUUUCUACAUUGAUAUUUCUUUUCAGUUUGAUAUCGAGGCUACGAAGGGAAAAUCUGGUAAUAACGGUGAUAUUGCAAUUGAUGAUAUAACAUUGUGUACCGGUUCAUGUAAUUAGCUUGUAACACUUCUCGAUAUUGUGUGAACUGGAAAUUCACGCUAUUAUAAUUACUAUCUGUUCUAGAAAUGUACCUGAUAGUCCAGUUUUUAUUGCUCGAAAUUCUCCUUUUAAUUCUGUUUUUUUUUCUUUUUUUCUAUCGCAUUAUGUGUACUAAAAACCAUUAGUCGCAACAAACAGUGUUUUCAGUUUUAAAUGACAGUUUUCUUCGUGCAUCUUUAUUUUAGAAACGAAUAUCUUAUUAAGUGUAUUAA
Molecule: long non-coding RNA, 2471 nt
Filed under: Mytilus galloprovincialis (Mediterranean mussel)
Lineage: Eukaryota; Metazoa; Mollusca; Bivalvia; Mytilida; Mytilidae
Source: RNAcentral